GCUCACAAAAAAUGGAGUAAUUGAUUGUUUGGACCAAAUUUUCUCGCAAGAAAAGGGAAAGAUAAGGAGGGAGAAUAUUAAAACGCUUCAAGAACUGGCGAAAAGGGCAACAGAACCAAAUGGGAGCUCUUCCAAGAACUUCAUUGCAUUAGCAGACUUAGUGACGAACAAUGGAAACUAUAAAAAUUAGUUGUUUUCCUACUAACGUUUCUGUAUUUGUCAUUUUAUUACCU
Molecule: unclassified non-coding RNA, 233 nt
Filed under: Hevea brasiliensis (rubber tree)
Lineage: Eukaryota; Viridiplantae; Streptophyta; Magnoliopsida; Malpighiales; Euphorbiaceae
Source: RNAcentral